CUGUGAUAAAGACCACAGCAGGGUCCACAGAGCAUGUGGUCAUUUCAGAGAACAACGGAUGGAAAGAUGGACACACCAGUAAGAUUAAAAAUAAGGUUUAUAUCAGCUCAGAAGACUUUAAUACAUUGCAUGAGGUUUGUUCAAAAAGGCAUUAGUGUGGAUCAACAUUUAAUCAACAUUUAAUUAGUUCUAAAAAAAAAAUAAAUAAAAAAAAACACAAAUAGGUGUGAAUUUAAAAAACAUCCAUAGUUUGUUAAAUACUAUGCAUUUUAGUAUAGUAGUUAUUUCACCAGUGCCUGAUUUGAGGUGAAAUAGACAUAAUACACACUGUUAUUUUUUCUUUUUCAAUUUCGGUAAAAAGUUCUCAUCAAAGAACUGUAUACCUGGAGAAAGCAUCUGCUACUGAGAUGAAUGUGAACAGAUACUGUAGCUCUCUGCACAUUAAGCCUCUUUGGUUAAGGCCAUUUCUGACACUUAGUGGCAGAAUUGCCCUAUCAAUAGACUAUGGUACCGCCACAGUGAUCCACUUUUUUUGAAAGGUAAUUUUGAGAAACUGCCACGUGAAUAAAUAUUUUAGAGAUGCCUGUUGCUUAUAAUUAACUCCUUAGAAGGGUGCAUUAUUUUGUUUGAUGGUGUCUUUUGCCUUAAGACUGAUAGAAACGCCUCUAUAAUAGUUCUUUAGAAGAUAUGAUGUUACCUUUUUUUUAUUUUUAUUUUUUAUCUUUGUUCUUGUUUGCAUAAGCUAUUACUUUUUUCAUGUCUAUUUCUCUUUAUCACAAUGCCUGUUUAUGCAUCCCAUAACAAACUUUUAUUUGCUUGCCAGAUACAUGUUUUAUAUUGAUGUAGCUGUUUGGAAGGAUUAACGUUUAGUUCUAACCCUCCUCCAACACAAUACCUGCAGUUUCAAAUUAGCCUGAAGUAAGCUGGACCAGAGAAGAUCCAGGUUGAUGAGAAUGAACCUCAUUGGUGGACAUUAAUUCAGGAGGGAUUUGUGCCUUUGACAUGCCCUUACAGAGGUUGAUGAUCUGAAAGAGAGUGAGAUUAAAAUCAUCACAAAACUGUGAUGUAAAUAGCUACAAACCACAAAAAAGAGAGCGAGAAAAUGAUCCCGAGACAAUUUAUAUGUUUUGGUGUCUUAAUGAUUCUCACUGAAGGAUCAUCAGUGAAAGUUCAUCCAGGAGGAAACACAACACUCCCCUGUAACAUUAAAGAUGAUACAGAGAUUACAUGGAUCAUUAUAAAUGGAAACCAAACAUUUGUCAGAAUUCUGAAGCUUGAAUAUGGUUUUGGGCCAGAAUCUAAACCAGUGCCCUCCAUUAUUCACCCAAGUUACACAGGACGGAUAAAAGCUCUCAGUUCUUCCACAAACACUCACUCUCUGCUUCUGAUGAACAUCACUGACACUGAUCUGAUGCUCUACUGCUGCACUGAAUGCAGACUUGAGCAAACUCACUGCACUAAACUGGACUUUGAAGAUGUGAUCACUGAAGAUGUGGAUCAGCAGGACACAGAUGAUAUCAGUCAUGAUCCAGUGAUCAUCAGUAUCAGUCUGUGUCUGCCUGUCGUCUGUGUGCUUCUGCUGCUGUUACUGCUGUCAAGUGUCUGUGUGUGUUGGAGAGCAACACGACUGCAGAAAGGUUCAAGAACUAAUGAUAUGGACCAGGACUGGAUUCACAAUAGUGUUCAGGGUGAAAUAAAGUUUGGUCAUUUUAUGAUGAGACAUGAGGAUUGGACACUGGCUGAAUUUAUUUAUACACCACUGAAUAAUAUUUCUUAAAUCAUAAUUUCAAAAUUCCAUUAUACACCUAACAUUAUGUUUUGCGCUCAUACACAUUUGCAAGUUACUAAAUUCACAAUGAAUAUGUUAAAACUAUUUUUUGUUGUUGUUGUGAUUAAAUGGCAUCAUAA
Molecule: RNA transcript, 1908 nt
Organism: Ctenopharyngodon idella (grass carp)
Lineage: Eukaryota; Metazoa; Chordata; Actinopteri; Cypriniformes; Xenocyprididae
Exons: 5
Source: RefSeq, a predicted model, not a curated record